Molecule: transfer RNA, 76 nt
Filed under: Candidatus Shapirobacteria bacterium CG09_land_8_20_14_0_10_38_17
Lineage: Bacteria; Candidatus Shapironibacteriota
Description: tRNA-Val
Rfam family: tRNA
About the family: Transfer RNA (tRNA) molecules are approximately 80 nucleotides in length. Their secondary structure includes four short double-helical elements and three loops (D, anti-codon, and T loops).
Source: RNAcentral
GGACUCGUAGCUCAGCUGGCAGAGCACACGAUUCACAUUCGUGGGGUCAGAGGUUCGAAUCCUCUCGAGUCCACCU